GUAGUCAUAUGCUUGUCUCAAAGAUUAAGCCAUGCAUGUCUAAGUAUAAACAAGUUUGUACUGUGAAACUGCGAAUGGCUCAUUAAAUCAGUUAUAGUUUAUUUGAUGGUGUCUUGCUACAUGGAUAACUGUGGUAAUUCUAGAGCUAAUACAUGCGACAAAGCCCCAACUUCUGGAAGGGGUGUAUUUAUUAGAUAAAAAACCAACGCGGCUCGCCGCUUGCUUGGUGAUUCAUAAUAACUUGUCGAAUCGCAUGGCCUUGCGCCGGCGAUGCUUCAUUCAAAUAUCUGCCCCAUCAACUUUCGAUGGUAGGAUAGAGGCCUACCAUGGUUUCAACGGGUAACGGGGAAU
This 351-nucleotide ribosomal RNA is filed under the name uncultured fungus. RNAcentral's name for it is "SSU rRNA". It matches the Rfam family "Eukaryotic small subunit ribosomal RNA", at positions 20 to 370 of the family's 1831-position model. Lineage: Eukaryota; Fungi. The record is from RNAcentral.